RNAcentral lists this ribosomal RNA (671 nucleotides) under uncultured bacterium. RNAcentral's name for it is "bacterial SSU rRNA". It matches the Rfam family "Bacterial small subunit ribosomal RNA", at positions 93 to 740 of the family's 1533-position model. The record is from RNAcentral.
AAGUGGCGGAAGGGUGAGUAAUGCAUAGAUAACCUGCCCCCGAGGCUGGGAUAACUCCGGGAAACUGGAGCUAAUACCGGAUGGGGUCGCUGGAUCGCAUGGUUCGGCGACUAAAGGUGCCCUACUUACAGUGGUACCGUUCGGGGAGGGAUCUAUGUCCUAUCAGCUAGUUGGUGAGGGUAACGGCCCACCAAGGCAUUGACGGGUAGCCGGCCUUAGCGGGUGUCCGGCCACAUUGGGACUGAGACACUGCCCAAACUCCUACGGGAGGCUGCAGUCGAGGAUCUUCCGCAAUGGGCGCAAGCCUGACGGAGCGACGCCGCGUGUGGGAUGAAGGCCUUCGGGUUGUAAACCACUGUCACUCGUUAAGAAAGGGUCCGGUGUUAACAGCAUCGGGAACUGACGAAGGCGAGAGAGGAAGCCACGGCUAACUUCGUGCCAGCAGCCGCGGUAAGACGAAGGUGGCGAGCGUUGUUCGGAAUCACUGGGCAUAAAGCGCACGUAGGCGGCGACGUAAGUUGGGUGUGAAAUCCCUCGGCCUAACCGAGGAACUGCGCCCAGUACUGCGUUGCUUGAGGAUCAAAGGGGUGCAUGGAAUUCCCGGUGGAGCGGUGAAAUGCGUUGAUAUCGGGAGGAACUCCGGCGGCGAAAGCGGUGCACUGGUUGAUUUC